GACGAACGCUGGCGGCGUGCUUAACACAUGCAAGUCGAACGGAAAGGCCCUGCUUUUGUGGGGUGCUCGAGUGGCGAACGGGUGAGUAACACGUGAGUAACCUGCCCUUGACUUUGGGAUAACUUCAGGAAACUGGGGCUAAUACCGGAUAGGAGCCCCUGCUGCAUGGUGGGGGUUGGAAAGUUUCGGCGGUUGGGGAUGGACUCGCGGCUUAUCAGCUUGUUGGUGGGGUAGUGGCUUACCAAGGCUUUGACGGGUAGCCGGCCUGAGAGGGUGACCGGCCACAUUGGGACUGAGAUACGGCCCAGACUCCUACGGGAGGCAGCAAUGGGGAAUAUUGCACAAUGGGCGGAAGCCUGAUGCAGCAACGCCGCGUGCGGGAUGACGGCCUUCGGGUUGUAAACCGCUUUCGCCUGUGACGAAGCGUGAGUGACGGUAAUGGGUAAAGAAGCACCGGCUAACUACGUG
This 468-nucleotide ribosomal RNA is filed under the name uncultured bacterium. Its description in RNAcentral is "partial 16S ribosomal RNA". It matches the Rfam family "Bacterial small subunit ribosomal RNA", at positions 28 to 507 of the family's 1533-position model. The record is from RNAcentral.